GUGCUCAAUCGACUGAGCCACCCGGGCGCCCCGGGAUUUUUCUGUUAUUGUAUUUAAAUGUCUCUGAAGUGAGAUUGGCCUUCCCCGGUCCAGGAGGACAGUUCGUUGCUCAACAGCGUCCGAGUAGCUGCGGUCUGUACUAGAACCUCCCCAUAAGCUCUCAAGGUCCCCGUGUAGGAGGAUGGAGGCUAGUCAAGCUCCCAAGACGACAGACACAUCCAAAUGAGGUUCUAUAUGUGGCACUUUCCCUUUAUUC
Molecule: small nuclear RNA, 256 nt
Filed under: Felis catus (domestic cat)
Lineage: Eukaryota; Metazoa; Chordata; Mammalia; Carnivora; Felidae
Description: 7SK RNA
Rfam family: 7SK RNA
About the family: 7SK was discovered as an abundant small nuclear RNA in the mid-70s but a possible function has only recently been suggested. Two independent studies have found that 7SK RNA binds the CDK9/cyclin T complex (known as elongation factor P-TEFb).
Source: Rfam by way of RNAcentral